UACGAAGGGUGCAAGCGUUACUCGGAAUUACUGGGCGUAAAGCGUGCGUAGGUGGUUUGUUAAGUCUGAUGUGAAAGCCCUGGGCUCAACCUGGGAAUUGCACUGGAUACUGGCAGGCUAGAGUGCGGUAGAGGAUGGCGGAAUUCCCGGUGUAGCAGUGAAAUGCGUAGAGAUCGGGAGGAACAUCAGUGGCGAAGGCGGCCAUCUGGGACAACACUGACGCUGAAGCACGAAAGCGUGGGGAGCAAACAGG
RNAcentral lists this ribosomal RNA (253 nucleotides) under uncultured bacterium. Its description in RNAcentral is "partial 16S ribosomal RNA". It matches the Rfam family "Bacterial small subunit ribosomal RNA", at positions 524 to 776 of the family's 1533-position model. The record is from RNAcentral.